This 643-nucleotide ribosomal RNA is filed under the name uncultured bacterium. RNAcentral's name for it is "bacterial SSU rRNA". It matches the Rfam family "Bacterial small subunit ribosomal RNA", at positions 232 to 885 of the family's 1533-position model. The record is from RNAcentral.
CGCGGCCUAUCAGCUUGUUGGUGGGGUAGUGGCUUACCAAGGCUUUGACGGGUAGCCGGCCUGAGAGGGUGACCGGCCACAUUGGGACUGAGAUACGGCCCAGACUCCUACGGGAGGCAGCAGUGGGGAAUAUUGCACAAUGGGCGGAAACCUGAUGCAGCAACGCCGCGUGCGGGAUGACGGCCUUCGGGUUGUAAACCGCUUUCGCCUGUGACGAAGCGUGAGUGACGGUAAUGGGUAAAGAAGCACCGGCUAACUACGUGCCAGCAGCCGCGGUGAUACGUAGGGUGCGAGCGUUGUCCGGAUUUAUUGGGCGUAAAGGGCUCGUAGGUGGUUGAUCGCGUCGGAAGUGUAAUCUUGGGGCUUAACCCUGAGCGUGCUUUCGAUACGGGUUGACUUGAGGAAGGUAGGGGAGAAUGGAAUUCCUGGUGGAGCGGUGGAAUGCGCAGAUAUCAGGAGGAACACCAGUGGCGAAGGCGGUUCUCUGGGCCUUUCCUGACGCUGAGGAGCGAAAGCGUGGGGAGCGAACAGGCUUAGAUACCCUGGUAGUCCACGCUGUAAACGGUGGGUACUAGGUGUGGGGUCCAUUCCACGGGUUCCGUGCCGUAGCUAACGCUUUAAGUACCCCGCCUGGGGAGUACGG